This 765-nucleotide ribosomal RNA is filed under the name uncultured Inocybe. Its description in RNAcentral is "partial 28S ribosomal RNA". It matches the Rfam family "Eukaryotic large subunit ribosomal RNA", at positions 216 to 962 of the family's 3401-position model. The record is from RNAcentral. Lineage: Eukaryota; Fungi; Basidiomycota; Agaricomycetes; Agaricales; Cortinariaceae.
GAAUCCCGUCUUUGGCACGGAUGCACCAGGGCUUUUGUGAUGCGCUCUCGAAGAGUCGAGUUGUUUGGGAAUGCAGCUCAAAAUGGGUGGUAAAUGCCAUCUAAAGCUAAAUAUUGGCGAGAGACCGAUAGCGAACAAGUACCGUGAGGGAAAGAUGAAAAGAACUUUGGAAAGAGAGUUAAACAGUACGUGAAAUUGCUGAAAGGGAAACGCUUGAAGUCAGUCGCGUUGGCUAGAAAUCAGCCUUGCUCUUGCUUGGUGUACUUUCUGGUCGACGGGUCAGCAUCAAUUUUGACCACUGGACAAAGUCUUUGGGAAUGUGGCAUCUUAGGAUGUGUUAUAGCCCAUUGUCGCAUACAGUGGUUGGGAUUGAGGAACUCAGCACGGCUGCAAGGCCCGGGUUUCGACCACGUUCUCGUGCUUAGGAUGCUGGCAUAAUGGCUUUAAUCGACCCGUCUUGAAACACGGACCAAGGAGUCUAACAUGCCUGCGAGUGUUUGGGUGGAAAACCCAUGCGCAUAAUGAAAGUGAAAGUUGAGAUCCCCUUCAAACAGGGAGCAUUGACGCCUGGACCAGACCUUUUGUGACGGAUCCACGGUAGAGCAUGCAUGUUGGGACCCGAAAGAUGGUGAACUAUGCCUGAAUAGGGUGAAGCCAGAGGAAACUCUGGUGGAGGCUCGUAGCGAUUCUGACGUGCAAAUCGAUCGUCAAAUUUGGGUAUAGGGGCGAAAGACUAAUCGAACCAUCUAGUAGCUGGUUCCUGCC